Molecule: ribosomal RNA, 278 nt
Filed under: Triticum aestivum (bread wheat)
Lineage: Eukaryota; Viridiplantae; Streptophyta; Magnoliopsida; Poales; Poaceae
Description: rRNA LSU_rRNA_eukarya
Rfam family: Eukaryotic large subunit ribosomal RNA
Source: Rfam by way of RNAcentral
CUGACAUGCGUGCGAGUCGACGGGUUCUGAAACCUGGGAUGCGCAAGGAAGCUGACGAGCGGGAGGCCCUCACGGGCCGCACCGCUGGCCGACCCUGAUCUUCUGUGAAGGGUUCAAGUUGGAGCACGCCUAUCGGGACCCGAAAGAUGGUGAACUAUGCCUGAGCGGGGCGAAGCCAGAGGAAACUCUGGUGGAGGCUCGAAGCGAUACUGACGUGCAAAUCGUUCGUCUGACUUGGGUAUAGGGGCGAAAGACUAAUCGAACCAUCUAGUAGCUGG